Molecule: RNA transcript, 1173 nt
Organism: Lolium perenne
Lineage: Eukaryota; Viridiplantae; Streptophyta; Magnoliopsida; Poales; Poaceae
Source: RefSeq, a predicted model, not a curated record
GGCUAGCCAUGAGCGUCGUUGCCACAAGUACCCGAGCAACCAACCCCACCGGCCGCCAAGCAGAGCAGAGCGCACGCACUUCCGGCGCGGCGGCGAUGUCAGACGACGUCGCGCCGUGCACCGCCUUGGCCUACCUCGACCCCUCCUACUGGGACCAGCGGUUCGGGAAGGAGGAGCACUAUGAGUGGUUUAAGGACUUGUCCCACUUCCGCCACCUCCUCUCCCCGCUCCUCUCCCCCUCCAUCUCGGUUCUUGAAGUCGGGUGUGGCAACUCGCGGCUUGGAGAGGACCUCUUGCGGGAGGGCGUCGCCGGCGGCAUCACCUGUAUUGAUCUCUCGCCGGUCGCCGUCCAAAAGAUGCGCCACCGGCUGGCGGAGCAGGGCACCAGUGGUGUAGAUGUGGUGGUGGCUGACAUGCUCGACAUGCCAUUCGAGAGUGAGAGCUUUGACCUUGUGAUUGAGAAAGGAACCAUGGAUGUGUUGUGUGUGGACGUUGGUGAUCCGUGGAACCCCAAUCCUACAACAGUGGAUAAUAUAAUGAAAAUGCUUGAAGGUAUCCACAAGGUCUUGAAGCCAGACGGCAUAUUUGUAUCCAUUACCUUUGGACAGCCACAUUUUCGUCGUCGAUUUUUUGAGGCACCUGGGUUUACAUGGUCUGUCGAAUGGAGCACCUUUGGUGAUGGCUUCCAUUACUUCUUCUACACCCUUCGGAAGGGCAAGAGGUCACCAGAGCCCAGUGGUCACCAAAACAAGUUGCCUGCUCCUCCAACUAUUAACAUGCUUCAUGAAGAGCUUGAAAGUGAGGAUUACAUAUUUUGCAUAAAUGUUGAAGAGUUAUAAGCAGUAACUCAACACAUGAAUGUGUUGGUAUGGAGGUGUUGAUGCUACACAUGAAGGGUCUGGAACAGUCAGCAACCCAGCGAGUGAUGUUUGUAAUUUGUGAGACAGAGGACAGAUGAAUUUACAAGCUUUGUUGUGCAGUGAUGUACCAUUGCCCAGGCUAGGGAUCUUCAUUCCAUCAGAAGUCAGAACUGACCCACAACACGUGUUCCCAUUUUAGGGCCUUCUGGUAUUAUUUCGCCAGAGGAACUUGAUGACAGAUACAGAGAGGUACGGUUGAUAAAGUACAAAUACGAAAUUAUCUUAUCUGGUUUCUGUCAAGCAAACAGGGUUC